This 253-nucleotide ribosomal RNA is filed under the name uncultured bacterium. Its description in RNAcentral is "partial 16S ribosomal RNA". It matches the Rfam family "Bacterial small subunit ribosomal RNA", at positions 524 to 776 of the family's 1533-position model. The record is from RNAcentral.
UACGUAGGGUGCGAGCGUUGUCCGGAUUUAUUGGGCGUAAAGGGCUCGUAGGCGGUUUGUCGCGUCGUCCGUGAAAACUCACAGCUUAACUGUGAGCUUGCGGUCGAUACGGGCAGGCUAGAGUUCGGUAGGGGAGACUGGAAUUCCUGGUGUAGCGGUGAAAUGCGCAGAUAUCAGGAGGAACACCGGUGGCGAAGGCGGGUCUCUGGGCCGAUACUGACGCUGAGGAGCGAAAGCGUGGGGAGCGAACAGG